This is a long non-coding RNA of Bacillus rossius redtenbacheri, 503 nucleotides long. RefSeq lists it as uncharacterized. The transcript has 3 exons. Lineage: Eukaryota; Metazoa; Arthropoda; Insecta; Phasmatodea; Bacillidae. The record is from RefSeq and is a predicted model, not a curated record.
GUUAAAACACUGUAGCAUCGUCCGUGUCUCGUGAUUGGGUGAGUUUCUUUCAGGUCAAUAUCGAUUGUUACAACACCAAUCACGGUGAGUCAGUGCGGAAGCAAACACGUCCUGAGUGGCUCGGUCAAAUAAGGCAACGACUUCCCUGGCAGACGUCCGCCAAUCACAAGGAAGAAACCGCUGGUCCCGCGAACCCACGAGGGAACAAGAGAAAUAUGGCUUCAAAACCUUAUCGCGGAGUGGAGAAGAGAAGAGAACAAAGAAGUGAUAAGGAAGAAGAGAAGAUAGGGAUCUGAGGAGAGAAGCGGACUGUGUCCAUGAGGAGCGGCGGUCAGCAAGGAGGAGUGUGUCGCAGCGUGUCAGCAGCGUAACGAUAAAUGCAGCACUGUAGCGUCGCAUCACUGCCGCUUGCCGGAAAGUAUGGAGUGGGGCUUUCAAUACUCUCCUCCCCCUUCUUCGCCUGAGAGUUGUUGAACUAUCGGUACUCUCUGAUGAGUCAUCGC